CCUCAUGAGACACUAACCUAGACAGAGCCUAGCGCAACUUCCCGCGGGACCCGGCCAGCGGCCUGUCCCUUAGCCAGGCCAGAGGGGCUAGGGACGGUUGCGGCCCUGAAGCCGGAUGGGAGUUGUAGUCCGCUCUGGCCUCGGUUUGAAAGCGGCGCUAAGGCAACACACCCAUCUACCCCCAAAAGUUUCUGAUCUCCUUUAAAUCCUUAAAACUAACCCAGAGACAUGUAGUUGAGGUAGGAUGGGCACACUCAUUUAGCAUGAAUACACUGCGGCUUUGGAAGGCUGAGGGUAGGGGGUCUCUGAAACUAGAUUCUCGUGUGGACCUAGAUGGGACUGAUUUUCAAGGCUUUGGCGGGAACAAGGCCCUGAACUGGAACGUGGAGGGCACAAGAAGUUUGAGAUGUGCUGAUGGAGGCAAAGGAGGUGGAGGUGCUGGCUGUGUCCAGGGAGGUUUUUUAUUUCUGGCCAUCUGUGUUGGUCUUGAUGGUGACAGGCCAGAUACCAAAGAGAAGGGUGCUCUGGUGUCUUUUGAACAACUUGUUUAAAGGCCUACUUAGAGGGCUUGCCUCUCCUUCCAGACUGCAAGCUGAAGACCUUGACAGGAUCGAGUCAUCAGCGUUGAGGGAGGAAGCAUUCUGAAUGUUUGCAGGGGCAAAGUCCCCUAUCGGAGACAUCAGCUGGCUCUAACCAACCCCACCCAGAACUGUGGAUUUUUGUCAGCCUCUGCCGUCUUCAGAGCUGGCUCUGCUGGCUCCAAACCUGCCUGGGGGCAAGUGAGGAGCCAAGCAGCUCGGAGCCCUGGGACCUUUGUUUACAGGAUCCCACAACCCAGUCUGAGGACACUAGGGAGGGGAGCCCAUCCUGUCUGUCUACAGCUGUGGCGGUCUUGAGGGAGGUGAUGAUGUGCAGAUGUGGAAGUGGGCCCAGCAUAAUUCUGAUAUCAAUCUCUACUGGUGUUUAGAUUUUUGGGGACAGGCUCUCAUGUAGCUUGGUCCUCCCCCCCACAUCCCAAGUGCUGAGACUAUGGGUGUGCACCAUCAAGUUCAGUUUCCAGAUAGUCUCGCCAACAAUGCACAGGAGAUGGGUGGUUAUGGACAACUUGGGGGACCCCUUGCAAGGCUCCAGGGGUGCCUCCUUGGCCAGGAAAAGACAAGGGAGCAUGAGAGGCUUUGGCACAAUUAAACUUCCUUUAAUGCGAGAACCAGUCUUCAUUCGGCCACUCCCUCUACAGCUGAGGAUGACAUCUCUCUCACCCUCAGCCAAGGAGUGGAGGGCUGAGGCAGGGAGGUAACAGGCCAGGCUGGAGCUCACCCUCAGCAGGGCCCAGAACAGUGCUGGGGGGUUGGCAGGCAGCUCCCUGAAGCCCACCUACAGUGUCAGAGGAGCAGGCUGCAAUGCCCUACCCAGCUCAGUGGAAAGCCCACCCUGACAGCCAACCACUGGCCACAGGAUGUGUCCGGGUCCCCAGGCUACAGUGGGGUGACUAAAGUGGUCAUUUGCUAGCUCAGGCUUCUUACUGCUCAGUCUGGGGCUCUCAGGACACCCAGACCUCCUUGGCUCAGCAGAGGAGGAGAGGAAGGAAAUGACAGGGCGAGGGAAGGGGCUGGGUUUUCCCCUGUCGUGCUGCAUGGACACUACACCCAGGCCAGAGCCACAGGCUUCCUCUUACCAGCCCCAGACCACCCCAGGUCACAGGGCCUACUGCCUGUCCCAAGGCAGAGAGGGGCUCCAGGAAGCUGCCAUAAAGGUUGACCUUGGGGCGGGGGUGGGGGGGCUACAUUUCAGACCCCUCUGAGCAGAAGCUGGGAUGACCUCCCCUCAGCCAGAAAGCAAACUCAAGCCCUAGGAUGUCAGCUCUAUGCUGGCUCUGGGGUGGAAAUGCUCCAAGGCUGGAGUAUAGGAAA
Long non-coding RNA from Mus musculus (house mouse), 1910 nucleotides. RefSeq annotates it as predicted gene, 52380. The transcript is spliced from 2 exons. The record is from RefSeq and is a predicted model, not a curated record. Lineage: Eukaryota; Metazoa; Chordata; Mammalia; Rodentia; Muridae.